This is a non-coding RNA of Dermacentor albipictus, 2037 nucleotides long. The record is from RefSeq and is a predicted model, not a curated record. Lineage: Eukaryota; Metazoa; Arthropoda; Arachnida; Ixodida; Ixodidae.
AAUACAACACGCCCCCCAUUGAAUGUGUUGCUGCUAGUUCCGCCUUGAGUGGCACCAAUUUCGGUGGUAUGAAUUUUACGGUGUGUAAGGUGUGUUGCAUCGUGGUUCAAGGGGUUCAGUUAAUUGUUUUCGCGUGAAAUUAGUAAGGAACACCGGACAUGUGUCGGCCUUCAGCGGUGUUCGUGCAACUGCUGUAACUGGCUGCUGCGCCUGGGCCCCCGAGCUGCACCUGAGGUUAACAAGGUUAGACAAGGCUUGCGACCAGGCGACUAGUUGGCCCACAAGUGAGACCAGCUCACUCCCAUCGAACGUUCCUUUCGACCUCGUACCGUACCUGCGGGAAGCGCUGCAAACAGUGCCACGCCGGAAGCCCCGAUGCACUGGUCAUCUCGCUUCGCCGUUUCCACGAUACGAUCUUUGCCAAGCGCAUGCGCACCUAGCAAGCUUCGGGAUCCAUUUUAAAUGGGCGUUUUGCUUCUUGGCGAUCAUUUUGGAGCUGUGGCAACUCGUGGGAACCUCUACUAAUCGUCGAAUCCUGCUCCUUACAGAACGUGUGGCGCCUGGCACCAUUGUUGUUUCGUUGCUGCGGGUGGUGGCCCUCUCCCCGCUGAUGCUUUCGACAAUGACUUGGUCCAACCUUUCUACAUGCAAAAUGGUCAUUGCCGCUGAUGGUGGUAAGUGGUUUGUCACGGCCGCUUUUGACGUGGCUGUCACGUGAGCGUCAACCGCUGCUACGAAAACAGUUUUGAUAGACGGCCUGCUGGCUGCGGUGCUCGAGGGGAGCGGCACUGCCAUGUCGCCUUCUGAUUCAGCGCACGCAUCGGAUGCGCAUUCGAGGUCAAGCUGGAGCACCUGCAGGAGCACUGCUUCACCGACAGCGCCGUCCGCCGCAAGGCCUACCGCCAUUGUCGACAGGACGCCAUCCUGGCAUGUGGUACCGAGGAGCUUGCUAGGCUCUGCUUCCUAUGGUAAAAGCGAGUGGACUGACCAAGUAUCGACGCUCACCUCCCGUGGCCACAAUCAAUCACGCGCAAAAAAUCCGGAGUCUCCCCACUAUGGCAUGCCUCAUAUUCAGAGUACGGUUUCGGCACGUAAAACACAGUAAUGUCUUGAGAUCGUGACUGCCGGAUUGUGGUGAAGUCAUCCCAGUGCGGAAGCCUAAUGUUUCCUUGCUUGCCAAGAAAAAUAUGUGGCAGGAUAGAUCGCAUUACACCUCAGAAAUCACCUCCUGGGUCGUUAUCAGGCUUUAGUUUCACUGCAUACAUCAUGCAGUGUUUGCGCUCGCUCCUUUGUAAAGAACUUCUUUUACUUUUUUAAAAAUUUUUAUUCUGCUGAUGGGAAAACGAGGCCUUUGGGUUUUUCCAAAGCUGGCGAAAAUUCUGGUGGCACGGCCCACUACGCGUCCGCGUCUUAAAAGCGAACUUUCUUCGUUGCUAACUCGCCCGGUGUUUCAGGUCUCAAAUUUACCCUAUGGGCUUCGCUGAGGAAGCCAGACCAUAACCUGGCGCUAAAUCCGGUCGAGGAAGUAGGUUAGCUAGCGGCAGCCUGUCACGCCAUUGUGGCGUCUCGCCACUAAUGAACAAAACGUUGUCUCGUAAAUAGAGCCUCCUUCUUCCACUACCGAGCAUGCGAAGGUACACUGCGUACAUAACUACCAAGCAUCAAUGCUCGUAAGUGGCACUGCUAAUUUCUACGACGCGUUUGCUAUACGUAUGUUAGUUGCUGAGGUGGAAGCUAAACAAGCCGUUUGAUUUUAAAUGCGAUAGCAAUUAUAUGGACACUGAAAGUGUGUUCGCUCCGUCAGCACCGUCAUGGACGUUCUGUCGUGGUAUCGACGGCGCAUGCGCAGCUGGGCUUUAAUGGUUGGAUAGCUAGAUACGUGCAGUGUGUUUGGCUGCAAAAACACGAUCAAGACUAGGUGGGCACACCGUCGAAUUCCGGUUAAUUAGCUCCGCAGGGUAGAGAUUGCAGCGUUUUGUAUAGAGCUACUAGCACGAAGGUCGUGAACACGGACACAAUACAGCAUCCCUGCAUGCA